Molecule: non-coding RNA, 110 nt
Filed under: Amphibacillus xylanus
Lineage: Bacteria; Bacillati; Bacillota; Bacilli; Caryophanales; Bacillaceae
Also listed under: 1 other name
Description: SAM-I sequence
Rfam family: SAM riboswitch aptamer (S box leader)
About the family: The SAM riboswitch is found upstream of a number of genes which code for proteins involved in methionine or cysteine biosynthesis in Gram-positive bacteria. The SAM riboswitch acts at the level of transcription termination control. The predicted structure consists of a complex stem-loop region followed by a single stem loop terminator region.
Source: RNAcentral
UUCUUAUCCAGAGAGACUGAGGGAUUGGCCCAGUGACGUCUCAGCAACCACCUUGUGUAGAGCAAGGAACGGUGCUAAUUCCAAAUAGGCAACUGCCUAGAAGAUAAGAA